CUGGGGAUGAUGGUGAGUGGUGUCACUUCCACUUCCAUCCCUUUAAUCCUGGAGCCGUGAGUCCUGGCUAUGGGAGAAACAGUGCCAUAUAUGGGAUGCUGAUUCAGAGCAUACACAGUCUUCUGGAGAACUUUACCCCAGGUCUGCAAAGUAUUGUUACCUAGUUGGCAUUGUAAUUGUGACUUCAAAAGGCCGUUCCAUCAUUUUAUCAAUUCAGCUGCUUCAGGAUGACAGAUAACAUGCAGACUACCUGGUCAUGUGGCCACGUUCUCAUGGUGAUGUCAGAGGGAAGAGUGCCAGCAGAAGUACUCUGCUUAGAUCACAUCUUCUAUCAUCCCCUUGUCCAAAAUGCUAUUCUUGGUUCCUGAUCUGGUGUUGCCAUCAACAUGCUAAUUGUUCCUGUACACUUGCAAACUCAUUAAACCUGAGAAAGACA
Long non-coding RNA from Homo sapiens (human), 436 nucleotides. NCBI's taxonomy places the organism in Eukaryota, Metazoa, Chordata, Mammalia, Primates, Hominidae. The record is from Ensembl.